UACGAAGGGGGCUAGCGUUGUUCGGAAUUACUGGGCGUAAAGCGCGUGUAGGCGGCUAUGUAAGUCGGGCGUGAAAUCCCACGGCUUAACCGGGGAACUGCGUCUGAUACUGGAGGGCUUGAGUUUGGGAGAGGGAUGCGGAAUUCCAGGUGUAGCGGUGAAAUGCGUAGAUAUCUGGAGGAACACCGGUGGCGAAGGCGGCAUCCUGGACCAACACUGACGCUGAGGAGCGAAAGCCAGGGGAGCAAACGGG
Molecule: ribosomal RNA, 253 nt
Filed under: uncultured bacterium
Lineage: Bacteria
Description: partial 16S ribosomal RNA
Rfam family: Bacterial small subunit ribosomal RNA
Source: RNAcentral